CCUACGGGUGGCUGCAGUGGGGAAUAUUGGACAAUGGGGGCAACCCUGAUCCAGCAAUGCCGCGUGAGUGAUGAAGGCCUUCGGGUUGUAAAGCUCUUUUGUCAGGGACGAUGAUGACGGUACCUGACGAAUAAGCUCCGGCUAACUUCGUGCCAGCAGCCGCGGUAAUACGAAGGGAGCUAGCGUUGUUCGGAAUUACUGGGCGUAAAGGGCGCGUAGGCGGUCUUAUAAGUUUGGUGUGAAAGCCCUGGGCUUAACCUGGGAACUGCAUUGGA
This 275-nucleotide ribosomal RNA is filed under the name uncultured bacterium. RNAcentral's name for it is "partial 16S ribosomal RNA". It matches the Rfam family "Bacterial small subunit ribosomal RNA", at positions 338 to 630 of the family's 1533-position model. The record is from RNAcentral.